RNAcentral lists this long non-coding RNA (316 nucleotides) under Eucalyptus grandis. Its description in RNAcentral is "long non-coding RNA (EGRA_LNC003374)". Lineage: Eukaryota; Viridiplantae; Streptophyta; Magnoliopsida; Myrtales; Myrtaceae. The record is from RNAcentral.
GUCGAUCUUGAAUGCGACAUCCCAGGAUAUGUCGCCGACCCAUUCAUUUCUUUACGCAUGCGGAAGCGAAACAAAUCCCCUGACAACAUUUAACUUGGGAUAGAAAAGCAGGAAACAAAAUCACAACAUAACACUUUCGUAAAUCAACGAAAUUACAAACAGAGGUCUACGGCCAAAAGUCUACAAAAGACUGGCUCUUAAAAAGAGAUUAUCCUACGACCUACAAGACGUACACGAUCUCCAAUCCUUAUGACUUCACUUCUCCAACUCUUCAAGGCCAACCAAAGCUAUCUGGCCGCUCCGUCCAUCAGGGACC